Molecule: ribosomal RNA, 497 nt
Filed under: uncultured bacterium
Lineage: Bacteria
Description: partial 16S ribosomal RNA
Rfam family: Bacterial small subunit ribosomal RNA
Source: RNAcentral
GAUGAACGCUGGCGGCGUGCCUAAUACAUGCAAGUCGAGCGGAAAGACGAGGAUCUUGCUGGUUUGACGUUUGGGGCGGGGGGGUGAGUAACAUGUGUAUAAUCCACCUGUAAGACGGGUAAAAUCUCGGGAAACCGGCGCAUACACCGUAUAAUCUACUGAAGCGCAGGGUUGGAUAGUGAAAGACGGUGUUGCUGUCACUUAUAGCUGCUUCCGCGCGGGAUUAGCUAGUUGGUGAGGUAACGGCUUACCAAGGCAACGAGGCGUAAACGAGCGCAGAGGCUGGUCGGCCGCCCUGGAACUGAGCCGCGGUCCAGGCUACUACGGGAGGCAGCAGUAGCGAACCGUCCGCAGUAGGCGGAAGCCUGACGGAGCAGCGCCGCGUGUGUGGUGAAGGCCUUCGGUUCGUGAAACUCUGUUAUGAGGGAAGAACAGAUGUGUAAGUAAAUGUGCACGUAUUGACGGUACCUGGUCAAGAAGCACCGGCUAACUACGUG